RNAcentral lists this ribosomal RNA (108 nucleotides) under bacterium. The record is from RNAcentral.
UAAGGGGGCUAUACUGGGAGUGCUCCACCCGUUCCCAUCCCGAACACGGAAGUGAAAUCUCCCAAGGCCGAUGGUAGUCCUUUGGGCGAGAGUAGGUAGCCCCCCUAC